RNAcentral lists this ribosomal RNA (835 nucleotides) under uncultured marine bacterium. RNAcentral describes it as "bacterial SSU rRNA". It matches the Rfam family "Bacterial small subunit ribosomal RNA", at positions 481 to 1323 of the family's 1533-position model. The record is from RNAcentral.
GAGGAAUAAGCAUCGGCUAACUCCCGUGCCAGCAGCCGCGGUAAUACGGGGGAUGCAAGCGUUAUCCGGAAUCAUUGGGCGUAAAGCGCCUGUAGGUUGUUUAAUAAGUCUGUUGUUAAAGACUAGGGCUUAACCCUAGAAAAGCAAUGGAAACUACUAGACUAGAGUAUGGCAGGGGUAGAGGGAAUUUCUAGUGUAGCGGUGAAAUGCGUAGAUAUUAGAAAGAACACCGGUGGCGAAAGCGCUCUACUGGACCAUUACUGACACUCAGAGGCGAAAGCUAGGGUAGCAAAAGGGAUUAGAUACCCCUGUAGUCCUAGCCGUAAACGAUGGAUACUACAUGUUGUGCAUUAUGUACAGUAUGGUAGCUAACGCGUUAAGUAUCCCGCCUGGGGAGUACGCUCGCAAGGGUGAAACUCAAAGGAAUUGACGGGGGCCCGCACAAGCGGUGGAGCAUGUGGUUUAAUUCGAUGCAACGCGAAGAACCUUACCAGGACUUGACAUACUACAAAUUCUUUUGAGAAAAAGAAGUGCCUUCGGGAAUGUAGAUACAGGUGGUGCAUGGCUGUCGUCAGCUCGUGUCGUGAGAUGUUGGGUUAAGUCCCGCAACGAGCGCAACCCUUAUUUUUAGUUACCAAUUCGUUGGGUUCUCUAGAAAGACUGCCGGUGACAAACCGGAGGAAGGUGAGGAUGACGUCAAGUCAGCAUGCCCCUUAUGUCCUGGGCUACACACGUGCUACAAUGGUUAAGACAAAGAGUCGCGAGCUCGUGAGAGUCAGCUAAUCUCAUAAACUUAGCCCAAGUUCAGAUUGUAGGCUGCAACUCGCCUACAUGA